AGAAGAUUAGUUAAUUUUUAUAACAAUGAGCUGUCAAAUCAUAAUAGCUGGUUAAAUUCCAGUAUCUUCUU
RNAcentral lists this transfer RNA (71 nucleotides) under Zygometra comata. RNAcentral describes it as "tRNA-Asp". It matches the Rfam family "tRNA". From Rfam's summary of the family: Transfer RNA (tRNA) molecules are approximately 80 nucleotides in length. Their secondary structure includes four short double-helical elements and three loops (D, anti-codon, and T loops). The record is from RNAcentral. Lineage: Eukaryota; Metazoa; Echinodermata; Crinoidea; Comatulida; Himerometridae.